GAAUUGGCGGUUCAGUGGUAGAAUGCUCGCCUGCCAAGCGGACGACCCGGGUUCGAUUGCCGACCAAGGCA
Molecule: transfer RNA, 71 nt
Filed under: Angiostrongylus costaricensis
Lineage: Eukaryota; Metazoa; Nematoda; Chromadorea; Rhabditida; Metastrongylidae
Rfam family: tRNA
About the family: Transfer RNA (tRNA) molecules are approximately 80 nucleotides in length. Their secondary structure includes four short double-helical elements and three loops (D, anti-codon, and T loops). Further hydrogen bonds mediate the characteristic L-shaped molecular structure. tRNAs have two regions of fundamental functional importance: the anti-codon, which is responsible for specific mRNA codon recognition, and the 3' end, to which the tRNAs corresponding amino acid is attached (by aminoacyl-tRNA synthetases). tRNAs cope with the degeneracy of the genetic code in two manners: having more than one tRNA (with a specific anti-codon) for a particular amino acid; and 'wobble' base-pairing, i.e. permitting non-standard base-pairing at the 3rd anti-codon position.
Source: Rfam by way of RNAcentral